UGUAGAAUCCCUUGAACCAUCGAGUUUUUGAAUGCAAGUUGCGCUCGAGGCUAUCUGCCCCUACCUAGGCAUCACGCCUCGCAUCGCUCCGCACACCCUUCCCCCCGAACCGAGGAGACGGCGGGUGCGGGUAUAAAGAUUAUCCCCCCAUGCCUUGUGGUGCGGUGGGUCAAAGUGAGGGUAGCUGGCCAAGAUGGAUGCGAUAAGUGGUGGACGGACACAUACGGCACUGAAAUUUACCUCUGCACCCGUCCCCAGCGGCGCAUACAAGGAACCCACACUGAGCACCCCUCGGAAUACGACCCCAGGUCAGGCGGGGCCAUCUGCUGAGCUUAAGCAUAUAAAUAAGUAGAGGAGAAGAAACUUACCAAGAUUCCCCUAGUAACAACAAGCGAACCGAAAAGAGCCCAGCUUGGGAAUUAGGCGGCCGCGCCGCUCGA
RNAcentral lists this ribosomal RNA (440 nucleotides) under Maianthemum canadense. Its description in RNAcentral is "eukaryotic LSU rRNA". The stretch from base 300 to 440 matches the Rfam family "Eukaryotic large subunit ribosomal RNA", at positions 1 to 141 of the family's 3401-position model. Lineage: Eukaryota; Viridiplantae; Streptophyta; Magnoliopsida; Asparagales; Asparagaceae. The record is from RNAcentral.